AUGUCUCCAGUCACGUUAUCAUUUCGUAAGACAUGGGUAGCUGUGAUCUUGGCUAAGUUGUUAAAUCGAUGUCACUUGUGACUUUUUUGAGGCCAACGUGACUUUGAGAAACAUUGAUUAGCUGUGAAAACAAACAUUUGUUUGGCUUACCCAAAUGAUGGUGACCUAUUCAAUAGAAUAUUUCUAUUAAUAUUCUGGAUUCUUUGAAUUCCAAAGUACUGUGUAAUCUAAAAGAACUACAGUAUGUACAUACACACAAAUGUCUUAUCUGAGAUGACUUUUACUGUUUUAAAUCAUUAACUAAAAAACCUGUUAUUUACCUCUUAUGAAAAUCUAUAUAACAACUUUUGUCUUCAAAAGUCCAAUGAACUUAUAUUUUCCUUAAUUUCAACUUAACUUAAUCCAUAAGUCUGUGUACUGAAUGACAAUAUUCAAAUAGGCAUGCUAAACUUUCUGAAAAUUUUCACCUUGCACAUAUUUCGUGACAGUAAAUAUCUAUCACAUUUGACGUUUGGAAUAUUGCUUGCUCCACCUCUUUUUCUUCAGAGAUGUCGAUGUGGCUGUAAUGAGUAUGCAACAAAAUGUCAUAUGCACGAUUUUGGUACAACAUCGAAUGCUAUCAGAUCCUUGCAGUAUCGACUAGUUUGCGGCCAACCUAACACGGCUGUGUUUACUUACGUUUAAUAGAUGCAUAGUAUGCUUUCUUAAUUAUUAUAAAUAUAUAUUUCUUCUGUACAAUUAACAAAAACAUUUUAUUACAUCAGCUUAAAUAUACAUUUAAUGCUAAUAACAUUAACACAUUGAUAAUUAGUUCCAUAAAAAUCAUUUAUGAAUAUAAAAACGCAUGAUAAAGAUUUAAUGCAUUUCGGGACUGUCAAAUAUCAAUUGUUCUUAUCAAAAACUGAAUGUUUAAAAGACCUAAUGCUAGUGAGACUGUAGUGCAUGGAAUUUUGAAUUUUUUGUGGCAGUGGAAUAAUCUUAAAAUAAAUCCGCUCGAUCGUUGAUUAGAGAAUUUUCUGAAAUUUUGAAUAUGCCUUGUUUUAAUUACUUGGAAUUUAUUAAUAUUUACAUAAUUAACUAAUUGUAUACUUAUUGUUAAUCAGAUUAAAAGUUGUAAAUUCAUACGUUUCUUGAAUUUGAAUUUUUUUGUGCUACUUCAAGAAAAAGAUUACCGGAGCUUCCCAAUUUAUUUAAAGUAAACUCGACUUUAAAAAUUUUUGAGCAAAAAAAAAAUAACAAUAAUUUUUUUACAGAAAAUCGCC
Molecule: long non-coding RNA, 1262 nt
Filed under: Androctonus crassicauda
Lineage: Eukaryota; Metazoa; Arthropoda; Arachnida; Scorpiones; Buthidae
Source: RNAcentral